UAGGGAAUCUUCCACAAUGGACGCAAGUCUGAUGGAGCAACGCCGCGUGAGUGAAGAAGGUUUUCGGAUCGUAAAGCUCUGUUGUUGGUGAAGAAGGAUAGAGGCAGUAACUGGCCUUUAUUUGACGGUAAUCAACCAGAAAGUCACGGCUAACUACGUGCCAGCAGCCGCGGUAAUACGUAGGUGGCAAGCGUUGUCCGGAUUUAUUGGGCGUAAAGCGAGCGCAGGCGGAAGAAUAAGUCUGAUGUGAAAGCCCUCGGCUUAACCGAGGAACUGCAUCGGAAACUGUUUUUCUUGAGUGCAGAAGAGGAGAGUGGAACUCCAUGUGUAGCGGUGGAAUGCGUAGAUAUAUGGAAGAACACCAGUGGCGAAGGCGACUCUCUGGUCUGCAACUGACGCUGAGGCUCGAAAGCAUGGGUAGCGAACAGGAUUAGAUACCCUGGUAGUCCAUGCCGUAAACGAUGAGUGCUAAGUGUUGGGAGGUUUCCGCCUCUCAGUGCUGCAGCUAACGCAUUAAGCACUCCGCCUGGGGGAGUACGACCGCAAGGUUGAAAC
Molecule: ribosomal RNA, 555 nt
Filed under: uncultured bacterium
Lineage: Bacteria
Description: partial 16S ribosomal RNA
Rfam family: Bacterial small subunit ribosomal RNA
Source: RNAcentral